This is a long non-coding RNA of Rana temporaria (common frog), 855 nucleotides long. RefSeq lists it as uncharacterized. The record is from RefSeq and is a predicted model, not a curated record. The transcript is spliced from 3 exons. Lineage: Eukaryota; Metazoa; Chordata; Amphibia; Anura; Ranidae.
GUGGUUAAUACCAGGGAAAGACACGUAGAAGUGGUUAAUACCAGGGAAAGACACGUAGAAGUGGUUAAUACCAGGGAAAGACACGUAGAAGCAUUUAGUACCAGGGAAAGACACGUAGAAGUGGUUAAUACCAGGUAAAGACACGUAGAAGUGGUUAAUACCAGGUAAAGACACGUAGAAGUGGUUAAUACCAGGUAAAGACACGUAGAAGUGGUUAAUACCAGGGAAAGACGCGUAGAAGUGGUUAAUACCAGGGAAAGACACGUAGAAGCGGUUAAUACCAGGUAAAGACACGUAGAAGCGUUUAGUACCAGGGAAAGACACGUAGAAGUGGUUAAUACCAGGUAAAGACACGUAGAAGUGGUUAAUACCAGGUAAAGACACGUAGAAGUGGUUAAUACCAGGGAAAGACACGUAGAAGUGGUUAAUACCAGGUAAAGACACGUAGAAGCGUUUAGUACCAGGGAAAGACACGUAGAAGCGGUUAAUACCAGGGAAAGACACGUAGAAGUGGUUAAUACCAGGGAAAGACACGUAGAAGUGGUUAAUACCAGGGAAAGACACGUAGAAGUGGUUAAUACCAGGGAAAGACACGUAGAAGUGGUUAAUACCAGGGAAAGACACGUAGAAGUGGUUAAUACCAGGGAAAGACACGUAGAAGUGGUUAAUACCAGGUAAAGACACGUAGAAGCGUUUAGUACCAGGGAAAGACACGUAGAAGUGGUUAAUACCAGGUAAAGACACGUAGAAGCGUUUAGUACUAGGGAAAGACACGUAAAAGUGGUUAAUACCAGGGAAAGACACGUAGAAGUGGUUAAUACCAGGGAAAGACACGUAGAAGUGGUUAAUACCAGG